This 492-nucleotide ribosomal RNA is filed under the name uncultured bacterium. RNAcentral's name for it is "partial 16S ribosomal RNA". It matches the Rfam family "Bacterial small subunit ribosomal RNA", at positions 29 to 507 of the family's 1533-position model. The record is from RNAcentral.
AGUGAACGCUGGCGGUAGGCUUAACACAUGCAAGUCGAACGGCAGCACAGUAAGAGCUUGCUCUUACGGGUGGCGAGUGGCGGACGGGUGAGGAAUACAUCGGAAUCUACUUUUUCGUGGGGGAUAACGUAGCGAAACUUACGCUAAUACCGCAUCCGCCCUACGGGUGAAAGCAGGGGAUCUUCGGACCUUGCGCGAUUGAAUGAGCCGAUGUCGGAUUGGCUAGUUGGCGGGGUAAAGGCCCACCAAGGCGACGAUCCGUAGCUGGUCUGAGAGGAUGAUCAGCCACACUGGAACGGAGACACGGUCCAGACUCCUACGGGAGGCAGCAGUGGGGAAUAUGGGACAAUGGGCGCAAGCCUGAUCCAGCCAUACCGCGUGGGUGAAGAAGGCCUUCGGGUUGUAAAGCCCUUUUGUUGGGAAAGAAAAGCAGCAGGUUAAGACCCCGCUGUUCUGACGGUACCCAAAGAAUAAGCACCGGCUAACUACGUG